CUUGGAUUAGUUCUCAUUAAUAAUGUUUGAAGCAGCCAAUAUGAAAUGGCAGAAGAUGCAUUCAGAUGAUACAGCGGACCACAGGAUUUCAUUUAAUGCUCCCCUUCACUGUUGCAGCAUUAUCAUGAUCCAUUGGGAGUGGGCCAUGGCAACCCUAUUAUCCUGUAGAGGGAUAUGCUGUCACUCAAUAGUUGGCACAGGAGCGUGCGGAGGAGAAAGCCCAGUGCUGCUGGGACAGAGACUCUGCGAGUGCUCACCGUUGACGUGCAUGUCCAUGGGGACAAAGAAGCCUGCCAGCUCAUGGGAGCCGGGAGAAAAAUGUGUGCUGUGCGUCCAGGGAGAUGCUGACCCAGACAUCUACGGGCGCAAAGUGAUCAUCAAUGGGAUCUAUUUCCAUGAGUUUUGUAUGAUAUUUUCUGGCGGCCUUCUUCAAGCAGCAAG
This is a long non-coding RNA of Gallus gallus (chicken), 441 nucleotides long. Lineage: Eukaryota; Metazoa; Chordata; Aves; Galliformes; Phasianidae. The record is from Ensembl.